Molecule: ribosomal RNA, 293 nt
Filed under: Pseudomonas aeruginosa
Lineage: Bacteria; Pseudomonadati; Pseudomonadota; Gammaproteobacteria; Pseudomonadales; Pseudomonadaceae
Description: partial 16S ribosomal RNA
Rfam family: Bacterial small subunit ribosomal RNA
Source: RNAcentral
GGUUAAUAACCUUGUCGAUUGACGUUACCCGCAGAAGAAGCACCGGCUAACUCCGUGCCAGCAGCCGCGGUAAUACGGAGGGUGCAAGCGUUAAUCGGAAUUACUGGGCGUAAAGCGCACGCAGGCGGUCUGUCAAGUCGGAUGUGAAAUCCCCGGGCUCAACCUGGGAACUGCAUUCGAAACUGGCAGGCUAGAGUCUUGUAGAGGGGGGUAGAAUUCCAGGUGUAGCGGUGAAAUGCGUAGAGAUCUGGAGGAAUACCGGUGGCGAAGGCGGCCCCCUGGACAAAGACUGA